RNAcentral lists this ribosomal RNA (497 nucleotides) under uncultured bacterium. RNAcentral describes it as "partial 16S ribosomal RNA". It matches the Rfam family "Bacterial small subunit ribosomal RNA", at positions 28 to 507 of the family's 1533-position model. The record is from RNAcentral.
GAUGAACGCUGGCGGCGUGCCUAAUACAUGCAAGUCGAGCGAACAGACGCGGAGCUUGCUCCUCUGACGUUAGCGGCGGACGGGUGAGUAACACGUGGAUAACCUACCUAUAAGACUGGGAUAACUUCGGGAAACCGGAGCUAAUACCGGAUAAUAUAUUGAACCGCAUGGUUCAAUAGUGAAAGACGGUUUUGCUGUCACUUAUAGAUGGAUCCGCGCCGCAUUAGCUAGUUGGUAAGGUAACGGCUUACCAAGGCGACGAUGCGUAGCCGACCUGAGAGGGUGAUCGGCCACACUAGAACGGAGACACGGUCCAGGCUCCUACGGGAGGCAGCAGUAGGGAAUCUUCCGCAAUGGGCGAAAGCCUGACGGAGCAACGCCGCGUGAGAGAUGAAGGUCUUCGGAGCGUAAAACUCUGUUAUUAGGGAAGAACAAAUGUGUAAGUAACUAUGCACGUCUUGACGGUACCUAAUCAGAAAGCCACGGCUAACUACGUG